This 489-nucleotide ribosomal RNA is filed under the name uncultured bacterium. Its description in RNAcentral is "bacterial SSU rRNA". It matches the Rfam family "Bacterial small subunit ribosomal RNA", at positions 28 to 526 of the family's 1533-position model. The record is from RNAcentral.
GACGAACGCUGGCGGCGCGCCUAACACAUGCAAGUCGAACGGGAUCUUUUAGAAGCUUGCUUCUGGCUGAUCUAGUGGCGGACGGGUGAGUAACACGUGAGCAACCUGCCGAAGAGUGGGGGAUAACGUCUGGAAACGGACGCUAAUACCGCAUAAUGUACCUGGAGGGCAUCCUUUGGGUACCAAAGGAGUAAUCCGCUUUUUGAUGGGCUCGCGCCCGAUUAGGUAGUUGGUGGGGUAAUGGCCCACCAAGCCGACGAUCGGUAGCCGGACUGAGAGGUUGAACGGCCACAUUGGGACUGAGACACGGCCCAGACUCCUACGGGAGGCAGCAGUGGGGGAUAUUGCACAAUGGGGGAAACCCUGAUGCAGCGACGCCGCGUGAGUGAAGACGGCCUUCGGGUUGUAAAGCUCUGUUAUGGGGGACGAUAAUGACGGUACCCCAUUAGAAAGCCACGGCUAACUACGUGCCAGCCGCCGCCGUAAUAC